CUUGGAGGAUGUAUAGCAAUAGCUAGUUGCACUAAAAGUUUUAGUGUGAGAUCGACUUGUUGAAUAAAAUUCUGGGUGGAAUUUUGAUAAUGACAAUAUCUGUCCAUAAGUCUUGACCAAAUUACGUGCCAGCAGUCGCGGUAAUACGUAGUAGACAAGUGUUAUUCAUCUUUAAUAGGUUUAAAGAGUACCUAGACGGGAAAUAAAGCCUCCAAAAAGGUACUAGUUUUCUAGAGUUUUAUGUGGAGGAGUAUUAAAGUACUACUGGUGGAGAGAUAAAAUUCAGUUAUACCUUAAUGGCACUGGUUAAGGCGAAGGCAUCUUCUUAUGUAAAAACUGACGUUGAAGGACGAAGGCUUUGUGUAUCGAACAGGAUUAGUUACCCUAGUAGUCUAAGCAGAAAAUUAUGAAUGUCAUAGAUUAGAUCUAAUUUUAUCUAUAAAUGAAAGUGUAAGCAUUCCACCUCAAGAGUAAUUUGGCAACAUUGGAACUGAAAUCAUUAGACCGUUUCUGAAACCAGUAGUGAAGUAUGUUAUUUAAUUUGAUAAUCCGCAAAAACCUUACCACUAUUUGAAUAGAUAUAUUAUAUCAUACAAGCGUUGCACGGCUGUCUUCAGUUAAUGUCGUGAGAUUUUGGUUAGUUCCAUUAAAUUAACGUAAACCCUUACUCUAUUUUAAAAUAAAGUAGUUCACCGCUAUAUUGGUUUAAGAUAAAGGGAUCAAGACAAGUCAACAUGACC
This 740-nucleotide ribosomal RNA is filed under the name Tassiloa digitaurea. RNAcentral's name for it is "SSU rRNA". It matches the Rfam family "Bacterial small subunit ribosomal RNA", at positions 353 to 1200 of the family's 1533-position model. Lineage: Eukaryota; Fungi; Ascomycota; Lecanoromycetes; Teloschistales; Teloschistaceae. The record is from RNAcentral.